AUUGAACGCUGGCGGAAUGCUUUACACAUGCAAGUCGAACGGUAGAGGGGGCAACCCCCUUGAGAGUGGCGAACGGGUGAGUAAUAUAUCGGAACGUGCCCAGUCGUGGGGAUAACGUAGCGAAAGUUACGCUAAUACCGCAUACGAUCUAAGGAUGAAAGCGGGGGACUCGCAAGAGCCUCGCGCGAUUGGAGCGGCCGAUAUCAGAUUAGGUAGUUGGUGGGGUAAAGGCUCACCAAGCCAACGAUCUGUAGCUGGUCUGAGAGGACGACCAGCCACACUGGAACUGAGACACGGUCCAGACUCCUACGGGAGGCAGCAGUGGGGGAAUUUUUGGACAAUGGACGCAAGUCUGAUCCAGCCAUUCCGCGUGCAGGAUGAAGGCCCUCGGGUUGUAAACUGCUUUGUACGGAACGAAAAGUUCUAUUAAUACUAGAGCGUCAUGACGGUACCGUAAG
This 458-nucleotide ribosomal RNA is filed under the name uncultured bacterium. RNAcentral describes it as "bacterial SSU rRNA". It matches the Rfam family "Bacterial small subunit ribosomal RNA", at positions 30 to 484 of the family's 1533-position model. The record is from RNAcentral.